GAGAAGAUGAUGAGAGAGAAAUAUAACAGAUUGUAUAGCCAUUUUUAAAGAAAAAGUGGAGGAAAGAAAGAAGAAAUGGGAAGAGAGAACUGCACCGGAUCACUCCCAAGCCAUCUCAUUUUUUUCACUCUACAAAAAAAUAAUUGUAUAGCCAUUUUUAAAGAAAAACUUCUAUUUUUACAUCAAAGCCCUUUAUACGAAAGCUGUUUAAGGUGAAGUCAAAUUUUAUUCUCUCUCCUCUCCUCUUCUCUCCUCUCCUCGUUCCUUUUUUCUAUUCUUCCCCAACCCAGUUUCAUUCGCAUGUGCGGUAUUCUUCUCCAGCCUCUUUCGAAGUCGAUUUUCUCCGACGAAGGAUGAGGAUUGUCGUCUCUACCGAAACAUCUUUGGGUCUCUCAAGCUAAGGGUUCGAUUCGAACAGACACUCCCCACAACUUCUGGAUUUGAAAUUGCUGUUGUAAAGAAUAAAUUGAGGAAGAAAAAUAGGGUUUGGAAGGAAUGAAGUCUCUUCGUAUUUCUGCAUCUAAAAAAGGCUAUUGUACAAUUUAAUUCUUUCACCAAUCAAAAGUGCAUUGCGUGGCCUAGCCAUGUAGGCUGACGAGGCCAUUUUCUCUAUUUUCCAUUGUAAUUGCUCUUUAGGAGUCGGUGUCCAACGUACACAAGAUCUUCAAAAGAUAAAGUAAGGAUCUUGAUUUCACAAUGAACCCUAAACUGCGAGUUUCGUAGCGGAGGGGACAAGAAAGACAUCAACAAGUGACAUGAUGCCAAUAAAGAAGCAAACUAAGUGAAUACCAGCUCUUUUCUUG
Molecule: long non-coding RNA, 803 nt
Organism: Andrographis paniculata
Lineage: Eukaryota; Viridiplantae; Streptophyta; Magnoliopsida; Lamiales; Acanthaceae
Exons: 2
Source: RefSeq, a predicted model, not a curated record